RNAcentral lists this ribosomal RNA (944 nucleotides) under Inocybe asterospora. RNAcentral describes it as "eukaryotic LSU rRNA". It matches the Rfam family "Eukaryotic large subunit ribosomal RNA", at positions 37 to 961 of the family's 3401-position model. The record is from RNAcentral. Lineage: Eukaryota; Fungi; Basidiomycota; Agaricomycetes; Agaricales; Inocybaceae.
AGCAUAUCAAUAAGCGGAGGAAAAGAAACUAACAAGGAUUCCCCUAGUAACUGCGAGUGAAGCGGGAAAAGCUCAAAUUUGAAAUCUGGCAGUUGUUAACUGUCUGAGUUGUAAUCUAGAGAAGUGUUACCUGUGCUGGACCAUGUACAAGUCUCCUGGAAUGGAGCAUCAUAGAGGGUGAGAAUCCCGUCUUUGACAUGGACUACCUGUGCAUUAUGGUGUGCUCUCAAAGAGUCGAGUUGUUUGGGAAUGCAGCUCAAAAUGGGUGGUAAAUGCCAUCUAAAGCUAAAUAUUGGCGAGAGACCGAUAGCGAACAAGUACCGUGAGGGAAAGAUGAAAAGAACUUUGGAAAGAGAGUUAAACAGUACGUGAAAUUGCUGAAAGGGAAACGCUUGAAGUCAGUCACAUCGGCUAGAAAUCAGCCUUGCUUUUGCUUGGUGUACUUUCUGGUUUCUGAUGGGUCAGCAUCAAUUUUGACCAUUGCAUAAAGUCUUUGGGAAUGUGGCAUCUUCGGAUGUGUUAUAGCCCAUUGUCGUAUACGGUGGUUGGGAUUGAGGAACUCAGCACGCCCUGCAAAGGGCCAGGUCUUGACCAUGUCCGUGCUUAGGAUGCUGGCAUAAUGGCUUUAAUCGACCCGUCUUGAAACACGGACCAAGGAGUCUAACAUGCCUGCGAGUGUUUGGGUGGAAAACUCAUUCGCGUAAUGAAAGUGAAAGUUGAGAUCUCUGUAAAGGAGAGCAUUGACGCCCGGACCAGACCUUCUGUGACGGAUCCGCGGUAGAGCAUGUAUGUUGGGACCCGAAAGAUGGUGAACUAUGCCUGAAUAGGGUGAAGCCAGAGGAAACUCUGGUGGAGGCUCGUAGCGAUUCUGACGUGCAAAUCGAUCGUCAAAUUUGGGUAUAGGGGCGAAAGACUAAUCGAACCAUCUAGUAGCUGGUUCCUGC